Molecule: long non-coding RNA, 1587 nt
Organism: Mauremys reevesii (Reeves's turtle)
Lineage: Eukaryota; Metazoa; Chordata; Testudines; Geoemydidae
Exons: 4
Source: RefSeq, a predicted model, not a curated record
UCCAGCAGCCCAACAGUCUCCCCACCCGCAGUUUCUGUCCUUGGUCAGCGUAGCCUCCAGAGUUCAGAAGUUCCUCUGCAGAGUUUACCUCCCAGCCUGGGUGGAAGCAGGAAAAGUGACGGUGACUCUGGAUCCAGACACGGCUCAUCCCCAGCUCGCCCUGUCUGAGGAUCGGAGACAUGUGAGAUGCGGACACACCCGGCAGGAUCUGCCCGACAAUCCUGAGCGAUUUGACACUGGAUCAGUCAUAACCCUGAGAGGGGGAAGGGGGAGCAGAUGUGAUUUUUGAAGAUAGUCAUGGAAUUUUUUUUCUCCUGAACUGGUUGUGUCACUGAACUCUAAUGAGGAUAUGCAUGUAUGUCACUCUGGGUUUGUCUACACUGCAAUGUAAGCCCAAGGAUUUUGGGUCUGGAGGCAGCUGGCCCAUGUCGGAGAACCCUGGGCUUGAGCAUCUACACUGGUUCUUAACCCUACAUUAAGACAUUUCUAACCUAGGCUCAAAUCUGGGGCUCUGGUGUCCACACUGCAGCAUGUAGAUCUGAGUCCAACCAACCCUAGCCCAGAUUCCCCAACACCAGCCUGAAAUGUGGCCGCUGUGGCCCUUUGAGCAUGUUACAGUGCAGCGAAACUUUUCUGCCCACCCUUCUUGUUACAGGAAGUUUGAGCAGCUCGCCAACACAGACAGCCGAGGAGUGAUUUUGGUCUGUGUGUGCCAAGCUACCAGAGCCAGCAACAUGGAGAAGGCACCUUUUGAAGAAAUCCUCUCGCUUGCACUUUCACUCCUGCAUCAGAAAAAGGACAGAGCUUCCUUGAAGUGCUGGUGAACAUUUGAGAGGACUUUUCUGCCCCACCAAAGGUACCUGAUGGACUGUAUGAUGGAGCAGGAGGAGAAGGAGGACCCUGGCAUGGCAGACUCACACUGGCCUAUGCUGCUCAGUAGAACUGGCAGAGCUGCUGGCAUUCCCUAGGUAGACUGGCACAGGGCCACAAGCACAGACUGGUGAGAUCCCAUCAGCCUGCAGACCUGGGAUGCCCAGCACACAGUCCGGAGCUCAUGCAGGAAAAAAAGGUCUCCUCACGACAUUAUCUAAGGAGGAAGGAGAAGAUCAUCUUCUGUUUUCAGCAGAGGAGAGGAAACUGCUAUAGAAUCCAACUUUAACAAAAACUGACAAAGUCGUCUUUUCCUCUGAAGACAAAACUCCCAGUAUAGCCUGAUCACUAGGAUAGCUGACAAUAAAAAUUCCUAUCAAAUCGUACAUCAGGAAUAAGGAGGUCUGUGUGGGGAAGGGGAUGUGUUCAGUGCUUAAAUUUGUGCCAGGGCACGCCAGCAUUGCACCCCGGCAUCUCUAGGCUUGGCAGUUUGUAGACCUGGUACCUCUGGGCUUGCUUCAUCAAUUAUGAAUGUAGGAAAAACGCUUGAGCCCCGGAACCUCUUUCAUUACACAUUAAGCACUGGAUGUAUAUAAGAGCAGACCCAUAGAGCAGCAGGUGAAACCGGUGUGGGAAGUUUUGUGCAUCUUUGGCUUCUUCUCCCAGAACUGUGCAAAUAACUGAUUUUUAGGUUUACACCAAAAAUAAAUAAAAAAU